This 107-nucleotide small nuclear RNA is filed under the name Trifolium pratense (red clover). Lineage: Eukaryota; Viridiplantae; Streptophyta; Magnoliopsida; Fabales; Fabaceae. The record is from RNAcentral.
GCACCUUUGGGGACAUUCAAUAAAAUUGAAACGAUACACAGAAGAUAGCAUAACCCCGCGCAAGGAUGACAUGCAUGCACAAAUCGAGAAAUGGUAAAAAAAAUUUU